This 392-nucleotide ribosomal RNA is filed under the name uncultured bacterium. RNAcentral describes it as "bacterial SSU rRNA". It matches the Rfam family "Bacterial small subunit ribosomal RNA", at positions 30 to 416 of the family's 1533-position model. The record is from RNAcentral.
AGUGAACGCUGGCGGCAGGCCUAACACAUGCAAGUCGAACGGCAGCGGGUCGUAGCAAUACGAUGCCGGCGAGUGGCGGACGGGUGAGGAACACAUCGGAAUCUACCUUGUCGUGGGGGGAUAACGUAGGGAAACUUACGCUAAUACCGCAUACGAACCAUGGUUGAAAGCGGCGGACCGCAAGGCGUCGCGCGAUUGGAUGAGCCGAUGUCCGAUUAGCUAGUUGGCGGGGUAAAGGCCCACCAAGGCGACGAUCGGUAGCUGGUCUGAGAGGAUGAUCAGCCACACUGGAACUGAGACACGGUCCAGACUCCUACGGGAGGCAGCAGUGGGGAAUAUUGGACAAUGGGGGGCAACCCUGAUCCAGCCAUGCCGCGUGUGUGAAGAAGGCC